UGGGGAAUAUUGGACAAUGGGCGCAAGCCUGAUCCAGCCAUGCCGCGUGAGUGAUGAAGGCCCUCGGGUUGUAAAGCUCUUUCACCGGAGAAGAUAAUGACGGUAUCCGGAGAAGAAGCCCCGGCUAACUUCGUGCCAGCAGCCGCGGUAAUACGAAGGGGGCUAGCGUUGUUCGGAAUUACUGGGCGUAAAGCGCACGUAGGCGGAUCGAUCAGUCAGGGGUGAAAUCCCAGGGCUCAACCCUGGAACUGCCUUUGAUACUGUCGAUCUGGAGUAUGGAAGAGGUGAGUGGAAUUCCGAGUGUAGAGGUGAAAUUCGUAGAUAUUCGGAGGAACACCAGUGGCGAAGGCGGCUCACUGGUCCAUUACUGACGCUGAGGUGCGAAAGCGUGGGGAGCAAACAGG
This 404-nucleotide ribosomal RNA is filed under the name Bacillota bacterium. RNAcentral's name for it is "Firmicutes bacterium partial 16S ribosomal RNA". It matches the Rfam family "Bacterial small subunit ribosomal RNA", at positions 355 to 776 of the family's 1533-position model. The record is from RNAcentral. Lineage: Bacteria; Bacillati; Bacillota.